GGGGGGGCGAAGCGUUGUUCGGAAUUACUGGGCGUAAAGGGCGCGUAGGCGGCCCAGAAAGUCUCUUGUGAAAUCCCACGGCUCAACUGUGGAACUGCAGGGGAAACUACUGGGCUUGAGUCCGGGAGAGGGUAGCGGAAUUCCCAGUGUAGCGGUGAAAUGCGUAGAUAUUGGGAGGAACACCGGUGGCGAAGGCGGCUACCUGGACCGGUACUGACGCUGAGGCGCGAAAGCUAGGGGAGCAAACGGGAUUAGAUACCCCGGUAGUCCUAGCUGUAAACGUUGAGCACUUGGUGUAGCGGGUAUCGACCCCCUGCUGUGCCCGUAGCUAACGCAUUAAGUGCUCCGCCUGGGGGAGUACGGUCGCAAGGCUG
This 374-nucleotide ribosomal RNA is filed under the name uncultured organism. RNAcentral's name for it is "partial 16S ribosomal RNA". It matches the Rfam family "Bacterial small subunit ribosomal RNA", at positions 527 to 896 of the family's 1533-position model. The record is from RNAcentral.